Molecule: long non-coding RNA, 3324 nt
Filed under: Takifugu rubripes (torafugu)
Lineage: Eukaryota; Metazoa; Chordata; Actinopteri; Tetraodontiformes; Tetraodontidae
Description: lncRNA (ENSTRUG00000028665.1)
Source: RNAcentral
GAUCAUCGUCCACGGACGUGAGAUGAUCUCCUGCAUUGUUCCAGGAUCAGCUCAAGCUUUCAAUUUCAGAGAGAAAUUCCAUCUUACUGAGGAAGAGGCUCUUGAGGUGAGCGAUCAUUUUCCUGUAGAAGUCGACCUGAAGCCCAACUCCCUAACCCACAACGAGCUGUAAGACCACCCGGGACGGCACUGACGAACCAGACGACCUUGAUUUCACUUUUUUUUGAGAAUAAAAAAAGACAAGAUACGAGAGACCGUGUUACAUUGUAAUUGUGUGAUGCUUUCGUGUCAGUCGCGAUACGGGUUUUUGGGGCUUCCUCCUGCACACACACACCAAAACCACGUCAAAGCUGACAUACUUUUAAAAAACUAACAACAGUUUAAGGAUUCUUACCGUUAAUUGUUGUUGAUUGAUUGAUGUAUUUUCUUUACACUUCCACAAUGUUCCAGCGGUUGGUUUUCCAGAUUUGCUGUCAGACAGAGUCAUGAUGAAUCAAAUAAAAUAUAACUUAGUUGCAAGUGUGCAGCAGUAUGUUUGACAGGAAGUCAAACGGGGACAGCGGAUGAGUCACUUGGUGCGCUUUUCUUUUCUGAUCAUAGCGAACAUGUCUUCAUGCAGCUCACAUUACCAGCUUUUUGCUGUCACCAAUUUGUAAUGAUGGAAGAAAGCUUUUCAGAUCUACUGAGGGAUGCAUUUGCAGAGGCCUCUUUUCCAUCCUUCCAUGAAGGAGAUCUGGACUUUGAGAAUUUAUAUUCUGAAGAGGACUCAAGCACCAUCUCUAGUGAGACUAUACCAACAAAAGAGAAGCAGACUUUGCACCAGGAAGCACCCAGUUUCUGUCAGCCAGGUAUUAUAAACACGGCCGAAAACAUUGAGGAAGAGGUGCCUGACGAAGUUGGUUUUCAAGGCGAGGUCAUUGUGAGCACGGGAAAAUCACAGGAGGAUUAUUACACAAGCUCGGGGGAAGAUUCUGCCCAGGAAGGAGAGGAUGGAGAGGGUGGAGGAGAGGAAAUGAAAUCGGUAAAACAGCUGAUGUGGGCCCACAGCGGCGAGGGAUCCCACCACGGCAGUAAAGGUGACAGACCCUCUGCGGAGAGACGACCUCUGGCCCCAGAGGGGGAGAAAAAGACUCGAGUUAGAAACAAGGAGCAAGGUGAGAGCGAGAGUGAUGAGAUGUCCUAUUUCCAGAGAGUCCAUGAACAUGAAAGGACUGAAAGCGAUCAGCAAGAGCCUGAUUCUGAGAGUGAGGCGGCAAAAUGUGAAGAAGAGGAACAAGAUGAUGAUUAUGAUGAUGAAAGUAAUUAUGAAAGAGAAGACAAUGUUCCCACUUUGUGCUGCGGAUGGGAGGAUGAAAAUCCCCGCUGGGACAAUCCAGUAGGGGACAUUAUGGACUUUCCUGAGUUAAUGGUGCAGCAGGACCUCAUUGCGGAAGAUGAUUAUGGGAAAUAUGUAGAGAAAAUCAAGGACUUCUCAGGGGAGGAGCACCAAGACGCAGGUGAGAGCUUCGCAGAGUAUCCCUCAGACCUUUCUUCCUAUGAAUCUAUAGAAGAUGGAGAAAAGGAUGAAGAAAAUAAUGGCCAACGUACAGGAGACCAGGCUACCAUGCAAAGAGUGAGUCAUUCAGAGAUGUUGCUUGUGGGGAGCAGAGGAACAGAACAGGGGAAAGCUGAACUUGUGGAGACCAUGUCUGGAGAUAAAGCUGAGCUGAGGCUUGAGACGUCUGAUUCCUACAGCUCCAGUGAUGACGAAACCCAAACUACAAGUGAUGAGGAACCCAAUGUUACUUCAAAAGACCUUGAAAAUAAAAGCCAACUGGAGGAGCAUCACAGUGGGAGUAGAAUGUGUGUACGUGAGGAUCCAAAAACGGGUCUUUUCUCUGAUGACCUGUUAGUUUCCGAUAAAGAGGAUAUGACUCUGUGUCCUGCUGAAGGAGUCAGAAUGUCCUCGGGGUCCCUGGAUGAUAGAUUCUUCUUUAGCACAGAAUAUCCAGAUUCUCAGAUCUCAGAGGAGGGAGAGCUCGGAGAUGAUGAGUACGAAGACAAGAGCAACUGGGAACAAGAGCAGGAAAGAAUCAGAGCUUUCUACGAGUUCUAUGACGACAGUGAUCAGCUGACAGGAGACGAAGGAAGACAGACAAAAGUCCACUUCUCCACAGAGCUGUUUUCUCAGAUCAUUGUCUAUGACACAGACAGCAGCGACAGAGGCUCACUAAGCAGCUCCACAGACGGAGAGGAGGAGCUGAGCUCCGCAGAGACACCUGAGGAACCAAAGGAGCCCGUUGAAAGAACAGCAAUCAAACCCAGAGUUCCAAAUACUCAGGCAGAAUCUGAGUCCAGUCUGAGCCAAACGCAAAAGAGGAAACAAGGAUGUCUCAAUAUGCUGAAAGUGGCCCUGAAGAUGGGAGCGAUGACAGCGAUGGGACUGCUGAUGUUCUGGUGGGCAACAGACCAGGCAGGCUGGUUCAAGUGUCUUUUCUCUAGAGCAAAACUCUAGAAUCAACCACUGUUAAGAGAUCAAAUUAAGAAAGAAUAUGUUGUUAAAAUGUGACUGCUCGGAAUUUCAACUUAACAUCCCGUGGAAUACACAAAUAUGUCCUUGAUGAAGCUUUAUAUUUGUUUACAACAAUAAGUAUAUAUUUGCAGUCUGUAAAUAGAAUUUCACAUUGUUAAAAAAAAAAGUAUUAUUAGGCUGCAUUAGAACUAAUUAAGCAUGUAUCAUAAACUCAAGUGACAGCAACUGUGUAACUAUUUUCUUUUCUUUUUCCUCAUUGUAUUUUAUUGAUUUUAGUUGCAAAAAAUUAUGCAGAAAAAAAUAUUUCGGGUUACAUUUUUAUGAUCCGUUUUUGCCAUUUGUUUGCAAAUUGUUUUGGGGGGAGAGUGCUGAUUUUUGCUCUCCUGCUACUGACCAGCAGGGCUCGCUGUUUUUCCUGGGAAAUGUAAGUUACAUGUAAUUCUUCUUCUUUUUUUAAACAAAUUUCCGGUAGCUUAGACGGAUCUGGGCGUAUUACUGCCUCCCUCUGGCCAUCCCUGGUCGCACAUCCUCGGUCUAAAUUCUAUGCAGUCCCAUGUUCAGCAGGAAGUGUAGGACUUUUUACAUUGUCUGCUGGUGGUUAUGAUGAAGGCUAAAAAAAAAAAGUUGAAUGGAAAUUGAAUCUAAAGGCAUAUCUAACAAUGAUUUAAACAGGUUUCUUCUCUCAGCCCUAUAGUUCCUAUUCUCCAGCAGUAUAUGUUCAGGGUGACCACACCCACAUAACCCUGUGCUGUUUCCCAAUAAUGUGCAGGUAAUUGUUUAGAUAUUUUAACAGAAUCUACUUAGUUUUCAUG